RNAcentral lists this transfer RNA (70 nucleotides) under Marmota monax (woodchuck). RNAcentral's name for it is "tRNA.Ala". Lineage: Eukaryota; Metazoa; Chordata; Mammalia; Rodentia; Sciuridae. The record is from RNAcentral.
GGGCUGGGGCUCAGUGGUAGAGCGCUUGCCUAGCAUGCGUGAGGCACUGGGUUUGAUUCUCAGUAUCACA